GAGGACUCAGCCAAGGGCUGUGGCUGGUUGUAGCCAUGGGAUCUCCAACUACCUGCGAGAGCAACCAGGAGAGACUUUGACAGCUCAGGUCAGCGAAAUACCUGCAGCUGCCGCUCGCCUUUCCCAAAAUA
This is a small nucleolar RNA of Pteronotus mesoamericanus, 131 nucleotides long. RefSeq annotates it as small nucleolar RNA SNORA44. The record is from RefSeq and is a predicted model, not a curated record. The transcript has a single exon. NCBI's taxonomy places the organism in Eukaryota, Metazoa, Chordata, Mammalia, Chiroptera, Mormoopidae.